AGUUCCUGCUUAUCACUGAAUAGUGUUACUCAAUUUCUUGCCAGCCUGUGGAAUUAUUCAAAUAAGCCAAUCACAUCUUCCUGCUGGAACCAGGGAGCAUUCUGCCCUCUUGAGACUACAAUGCCUGUCUCCCACAGCCCUUGAUUGCUCCCUCUGUUCCUGAGUGCAAUCCCCAUGUGGCCCUGCAAGAUGUGUGAUGUCCUCCCCACAAGGCUAAGAAUCCCUGCCAUCUGGAUGUACACAGGACAAUCAAUUCAGAACGUCAAAAUGAGAUUAUCGUCCUACACGUGUGAUACUGCUUUAGCAACGCUACUUACAGAGCAUAGGACUUUAAUAUAUUUUCCAAACUAGAUUUAAAAAAGCAACUGUUUAACUGGAAGAAGAGGCCAUGGAAUUAAGAAGCAUACAUCUGUAACUUUCUGAGACACAGCAAAAGAAAACUCUAGUGAAGAGAAAUAUUUUUGAUUGCUGAGAAAAGGCUUUGGUGGGAUGAAUGUAUUCCUCUAAGCGGUGAUUACCUGUACAGAGAAGAGCUUCCCACAUACAAGCUGAUUCAGGGGAAUAGGACCAUUUCAACUGACUGGGAGACGGAACAGGCCUGGCUAUGGCUGAGUAAGGAACGCCUCUCAGCACGGAGCUUUCUCUCUAAGUGUGCAGUUACAUCUUACCCAUGUGGAAGAAGGAAGGACUUCUUACUCGUCUAGUGUUCAGAAGGGCCUCAUGAAUAGUAUGGCCUCAAAAGUUUCUUCUCUCCCCCUAGUUUUACUGAAAUAUAACUGACACCUAACACUAGAAGUUUAAGGUGUAAUGAUCUCAUGUCAAAAGUUUCUUGUAUGGGUGACUUACUUCUCAAGAUAAGUUUUUUUUUUUUUU
Lynx canadensis (Canada lynx) is the source of this 873-nucleotide long non-coding RNA. RefSeq lists it as uncharacterized. NCBI's taxonomy places the organism in Eukaryota, Metazoa, Chordata, Mammalia, Carnivora, Felidae. The transcript is spliced from 3 exons. The record is from RefSeq and is a predicted model, not a curated record.